Molecule: ribosomal RNA, 445 nt
Filed under: uncultured bacterium
Lineage: Bacteria
Description: partial 16S ribosomal RNA
Rfam family: Bacterial small subunit ribosomal RNA
Source: RNAcentral
CCUACGGGUGGCUGCAGUGGGGAAUUUUGGACAAUGGGGGCAACCCUGAUCCAGCCAUUCCGCGUGAGUGAAGAAGGCCUUCGGGUUGUAAAGCUCUUUCGGCAGGAACGAAACGGCGGGCUCUAACAUAGCCUGUCAAUGACGGUACCUGAAGAAGAAGCACCGGCUAACUACGUGCCAGCAGCCGCGGUCAUACGUAGGGUGGGGGCGUUAAUCGGAUGCAGGGGGCGUAAAGCGUGCGCUGUGAAAUCCCCGGGCUUAACCUGGGAACUGCGGUUGUGACUGCAAGGCUCGAGUGUGGCAGAGGGGGGUGGAAUUCCACGUGUAGCAGUGAAAUGCGUAGAGAUGUGGAGGAACACCGAUGGCGAAGGCAGCCCCCUGGGUCAACACUGACGCUCAUGCACGAAAGCGUGGGUAGCAAACAGGAUUAGAUACCCCAGUAGUC